AAAACCUUCAUCCUAUUUCUUGUCCUUCUUUUGCUUCCUUUAUUUCUCGAAUUUUUCUUACUUGAAGCCCUUGUGAUCAAUUCCACUGAUGGUGAUAGGGACGUGGUUUGCAUUGAGAUGGAGCGGAAAGCCCUUCUUAAAUUAAAAGGUGGUCUGGAAGAUCCUUCAGGUCGGCUUUCUUCUUGGGUUGGUGGAGAUUGUUGCAAAUGGCAAGGCGUGGAUUGCAAUAAUGAGACAGGACAUGUUAUAAAGCUAGACCUCAAAAACCCUUAUCAAUCCGAUGAAGCAGCAUUUCCCUUGUCUCGUUUAAUUGGCCAGAUAAGUGAUUCCUUGCUUGACUUGAAAUAUUUGAAUUACCUGGAUUUGUCUAAAAAUGAAUUGAGCGGCCUGAUCCCUGAUUCAAUAGGAAACCUUGACCACUUAAGAUAUCUUGAUCUUAGUGACAACUCAAUCUCGGGUUCAAUUCCAGCAUCCAUUGGAAGGCUGUUGUUGUUGGAGGAAUUGAACCUCUCUCACAACGGAAUGAAUGGGACCAUCCCAGAAAGUAUAGGACAACUGAAAGAGCUCCUUAGCUUAACACUUGAUUGGAAUCCUUGGAAGGGGAGGGUAUCCGAAAUUCACUUCAUGGGUCUUAUAAAACUGGAAUAUUUCUCCUCAUACUUAUCACCGGCUACAAACAACUCUCUGGUUUUCGAUAUUACAAGUGACUGGAUUCCUCCUUUCAGUCUCAAGGUUAUCAGAAUCGGCAACUGCAUACUGUCUCAAACAUUCCCUUCCUGGCUCGGAACUCAGAAGGAACUUUACCGAAUAAUCCUCCGUAAUGUUGGGAUUUCAGACACUAUACCAGAAUGGCUUUGGAAGUUGUCUCCACAGCUUGGGUGGUUAGAUCUUUCCAGGAACCAAUUGAGGGGAAAACCUCCCAGCCCCUUAUCCUUCAGCACAUCGCAUGGAUGGAGUAUGGCAGAUUUAAGUUUCAACCGCUUAGAGGGUCCACUCCCACUUUGGUAUAAUUUGACAUAUCUUGUUUUGGGGAACAAUUUUUUUUCAGGUCCAGUUCCCUCCAAUAUUGGGGAAUUGUCAAGUUUGAGAGUCCUGGUUGUUUCGGGGAACUUGUUGAAUGGGACCAUCCCAUCAUCAUUAACUAACCUGAAGAAUUUGAGGAUUAUUGAUCUCUCAAAUAACCAUUUAUCUGGAAAGAUUCCCAAUCAUUGGAAUGAUAUGGAAAUGCUUGGCAUCAUUGAUCUAUCCAAGAACAGACUGUAUGGCGAGAUUCCAAGUUCCAUAUGUUCAAUCCAUGUAAUUUACUUUUUGAAACUGGGCAACAACAAUCUUUCUGGGGAACUCUCUCCAAGCUUACAAAACUGCAGUCUGUACUCCCUUGAUCUUGGAAAUAACAGGUUUUCAGGUGAGAUACCCAAAUGGAUCGGAGAAAGAAUGUCAUCACUGAAGCAGCUACGCCUACGAGGCAACAUGCUGACCGGAAAUAUUCCUGAACAACUAUGUGGGCUUUCUGAUCUCCGCAUUUUGGACCUUGCACUUAAUAAUCUAUCAGGAUCCAUCCCUCCAUGCUUAGGCCAUUUGAGUGCUAUGAAUCGUGUGACCUUAUUAGGUCCUUCUCCAGAUUACCAAUAUACUGAUUAUUAUUACUACAGGGAGGGAAUGGAGCUAGUUGUGAAGGGAAAAGAAAUGGAAUUUGAGAGGAUACUUUCAAUUGUGAAGUUGAUAGACCUUUCUAGGAAUAACUUAUCGGGAGAGAUUCCACAUGGGAUUACAAAUCUCUCAACCUUGGGUACCUUGAAUUUGUCCCGAAACCAAUUGACUGGAAAGAUACCUGAGAAUAUUGGAGCCAUGCAAGGGCUAGAAACUCUUGACCUCUCAUGCAACUGCCUGUCAGGCCCAAUUCCUCCGACCAUGUCUUCUAUAACCUCAUUGAACCAUUUGAACCUAUCGCAUAACCGCCUGUCAGGACCAAUUCCAACAACCAACCAGUUCUCGACAUUCAACGAUCCAUCCAUUUAUGAGGCGAACCUAGGACUUUUUGGGCCUCCAUUGUCAACCAACUGCUCCACUCUAAAUGAUCAAGAUCACAAAGUUGAGGAGGAAGAUGAAGAUGAAGAUGAAUGGGACAUGUCAUGGUUCUUCAUAAGCAUGGGAUUGGGCUUUCCGGUGGGAUUUUGGGUUGUAUGUGGCAGUUUGGUUCUAAAGAAGUCUUGGAGGCAGGCAUAUUUCCAGUUCAUUGAUGAAACCACAGAUAGGUUAUAUGUCUUCACUACAGUGAAUGUGGCUCGUCUGAAAAGGAAGAUGAAAGCAAAUGGAGUUCAUGACUAAAAAGCUCUUUUGCAGAGGGUGAUGAGGUUUCAAAAUAACAAACAUCAUACAAAAAGAAGAUUGAAUACAAUGAUGAAUUCUUAGUGCUAAUGAAGAUUUCUUUGGUACGAGUUUCUGAGAACUUAUCUUUGAAAUGUUGGCAAGCAAUUAUUUUUCUUUAGGUAGGUUUGUUAUUUGUAAACUGUCAUUUAAGUAAGAAAAGUUGUAAUAUUAAGUUGGAUACUCAACCUACUUUUGAUAUUUUAGAGUCAUCUAUGCCUUAAAAUUAUCCUUUCAACUUCUAUGUUUAUGAUAAUUUGGUAGUUGAUUAUCACUAA
This is an RNA transcript of Vitis riparia (riverbank grape), 2645 nucleotides long. It is a transcript of the gene named receptor-like protein 46, with no coding region annotated. The record is from RefSeq and is a predicted model, not a curated record. Lineage: Eukaryota; Viridiplantae; Streptophyta; Magnoliopsida; Vitales; Vitaceae. The transcript has 3 exons.